Molecule: ribosomal RNA, 253 nt
Filed under: uncultured bacterium
Lineage: Bacteria
Description: partial 16S ribosomal RNA
Rfam family: Bacterial small subunit ribosomal RNA
Source: RNAcentral
UACGGAGGGUGCAAGCGUUAUCCGGAUUCACUGGGUUUAAAGGGAGCGUAGGAGGGCAGGUAAGUCAGUGGUGAAAUCUCUGGGCUUAACCCAGAAACUGCCGUUGAUACUAUUUGUCUUGAAUAUCCUGGAGGUAGGCGGAAUAUGUCAUGUAGCGGUGAAAUGCUUAGAUAUGACAUAGAACACCGAUAGCGAAGGCAGCUUACUACAGGAUGAUUGACGCUGAGGCACGAAAGCGUGGGGAGCAAACAGG